RNAcentral lists this ribosomal RNA (253 nucleotides) under uncultured bacterium. RNAcentral describes it as "partial 16S ribosomal RNA". It matches the Rfam family "Bacterial small subunit ribosomal RNA", at positions 524 to 776 of the family's 1533-position model. The record is from RNAcentral.
UACAGAGGUCUCAAGCGUUGUUCGGAUUCAUUGGGCGUAAAGGGUGCGUAGGCGGCGCGGUAAGUCGGGUGUGAAAUCUCGGAGCUUAACUCCGAAACUGCAUUCGAUACUGCCGUGCUUGAGGACUGGAGAGGAGACUGGAAUUUACGGUGUAGCGGUGAAAUGCGUAGAUAUCGUAAGGAACACCCAGGGGGAAACCAGUCGACUGGGCAUCUACUGACGCUGAGGUGCGAGAGCGUGGGGAGCGAACCGG